Molecule: ribosomal RNA, 1027 nt
Filed under: uncultured bacterium
Lineage: Bacteria
Description: bacterial SSU rRNA
Rfam family: Bacterial small subunit ribosomal RNA
Source: RNAcentral
AGGGAAUCUUCGGCAAUGGACGAAAGUCUGACCGAGCAACGCCGCGUGAGUGAAGAAGGUUUUCGGAUCGUAAAACUCUGUUGUUAGAGAAGAACAAGGAUGAGAGUAGAACGUUCAUCCCUUGACGGUAUCUAACCAGAAAGCCACGGCUAACUACGUGCCAGCAGCCGCGGUAAUACGUAGGUGGCAAGCGUUGUCCGGAUUUAUUGGGCGUAAAGCGAGCGCAGGCGGUUUCUUAAGUCUGAUGUGAAAGCCCCCGGCUCAACCGGGGAGGGUCAUUGGAAACUGGGAGACUUGAGUGCAGAAGAGGAGAGUGGAAUUCCAUGUGUAGCGGUGAAAUGCGUAGAUAUAUGGAGGAACACCAGUGGCGAAGGCGGCUCUCUGGUCUGUAACUGACGCUGAGGCUCGAAAGCGUGGGGAGCGAACAGGAUUAGAUACCCUGGUAGUCCACGCCGUAAACGAUGAGUGCUAAGUGUUGGAGGGUUUCCGCCCUUCAGUGCUGCAGCAAACGCAUUAAGCACUCCGCCUGGGGAGUACGACCGCAAGGUUGAAACUCAAAGGAAUUGACGGGGGCCCGCACAAGCGGUGGAGCAUGUGGUUUAAUUCGAAGCAACGCGAAGAACCUUACCAGGUCUUGACAUCCUUUGACCACUCUAGAGAUAGAGCUUCCCCUUCGGGGGCAAAGUGACAGGUGGUGCAUGGUUGUCGUCAGCUCGUGUCGUGAGAUGUUGGGUUAAGUCCCGCAACGAGCGCAACCCUUAUUGUUAGUUGCCAUCAUUUAGUUGGGCACUCUAGCGAGACUGCCGGUGACAAACCGGAGGAAGGUGGGGAUGACGUCAAAUCAUCAUGCCCCUUAUGACCUGGGCUACACACGUGCUACAAUGGGAAGUACAACGAGUUGCGAAGUCGCGAGGCUAAGCUAAUCUCUUAAAGCUUCUCUCAGUUCGGAUUGUAGGCUGCAACUCGCCUACAUGAAGCCGGAAUCGCUAGUAAUCGCGGAUCAGCACGCCGCGGUGAAUACGUUCCC